UCAAUUGAUAGUUGUGUGCGUGCUUCCACGGGACGCCUUGCUUAGACCUCCCCCUGGCAUUUUUCACCCAUACUGCACUGCUGCAGUAAAUCUGGUGCCAGAGAGGAAGUGGCUGUGGUCACGGACUCACUGAGACACACGUGAGACUCGCACAGGAACGAGGGGAUCCAGCCGGAUCGGAUUCUGACACACACCGCUCAGAAACAACAUUUAACUAAAGGUCAGAAUGUCCAGCUGUGGAUCCUGCCUCUACUCUAUCGUAUGGCUCAUCAUCCUGUUGGCCCUGGCCUGGCCCCUCAGCAUAUUUCUGGGCGGGCUGUACGGAUUCAUCGCCCCCCUGACCACCUGCGUGGGACUGGACCGCCUCACCGACCUCCUCCUGGAGGGGGCGAACCUGGGGCGCACCUGCGCCCUGAACGUGAGGCACGGGAGGCCGCUGUGCUGAGGGAGCGCCGCGCUCCGGCUCCCGUCUCCAUGGAAACGCCUUUCCCCUGCACAGACGCCAGCGAAGACGAACUCUGCGCAUUUUGACGUCCAUUCUUAGGUACCGAGAUCAUUCAUUGUUCAUCUGAAACUCUACAGACUGCUCCAAACGCGAACACCCCUUAUCAACAUUAAUGGCGCAUAUCGACAUACAAACCUUAUUCAUGCUUUUUACAACUUUGAAUGACAUUUCUUGUACUCAUGCUGUUUUGUUUUAAAUGAAAAUCGUUUAUUUACCUAUAGUGAAGAUAUCUGUUAGUUAGAACAAGAAGUUGUACAACUUCUAAAGAAAAUAGACAUGGCACUUUAUGCUGAAAGGGCUUUAAAACAAAUGUCUCAUAUGCUGUACAUUUAUUUAGGGUGUACAUGAAUAUUCAUCUUACUGAAACACGCAAAUUAUAUAUAAACUGCAGGUUAGUAAACACUGUUAGGUGAAAGUAAGUGGUGUUACCCUAACUAUAGUUAUGACUGAAGUGUUGAGGAAAGAUUUCAGAAAUUGUUAAUGUUAAAACGAAAAUAAAGAAGCAUUUGUAACUGAUGAA
This is a long non-coding RNA of Anguilla anguilla (European eel), 1025 nucleotides long. RefSeq lists it as uncharacterized. The transcript is spliced from 2 exons. The record is from RefSeq and is a predicted model, not a curated record. NCBI's taxonomy places the organism in Eukaryota, Metazoa, Chordata, Actinopteri, Anguilliformes, Anguillidae.